GUGAGGAAUAUUGGACAAUGGCCGAGAGGCUGAUCCAGCCAUGCCGCGUGCGGGAAGACGGCCCUAUGGGUUGUAAACCGCUUUUGUUGGAGAGCAAUAAGUUCUACGUGUAGAGCGAUGAGAGUAUCCAGCGAAUAAGCAUCGGCUAACUCCGUGCCAGCAGCCGCGGUAAUACGGAGGAUGCAAGCGUUAUCCGGAUUUAUUGGGUUUAAAGGGUGCGUAGGCGGAAGAUUAAGCGUGAGGUGAAAUGCCACUGCUCAACAGUGGAACUGCCUCGCGAACUGGUUUUCUGGAAUGCCCCUGCCGUGGGAGGAAUGUGUGGUGUAGCGGUGAAAUGCAUAGAGAUCACACAGAACACCGAUUGCGAAGGCAUCUCACGAAGGGGUGAUUGACGCUGAGGCACGAAAGCGUGGGGAUCAAACAGG
Molecule: ribosomal RNA, 425 nt
Filed under: uncultured rumen bacterium
Lineage: Bacteria
Description: bacterial SSU rRNA
Rfam family: Bacterial small subunit ribosomal RNA
Source: RNAcentral